RNAcentral lists this ribosomal RNA (473 nucleotides) under uncultured organism. RNAcentral's name for it is "partial 16S ribosomal RNA". It matches the Rfam family "Bacterial small subunit ribosomal RNA", at positions 334 to 798 of the family's 1533-position model. The record is from RNAcentral.
CACUCCUGCGGGAGGCAGCAGUGGGGAAUAUUGCACAAUGGGCGCAAGCCUGAUGCAGCCAUGCCGCGUGUGUGAAGAAGGCCUUCGGGUUGUAAAGCACUUUCAGCGGGGAGGAAGGCGAUACGGUUAACAACCGUGUUGAUUGACGUUACCCGCAGAAGAAGCACCGGCUAACUCCGUGCCAGCAGCCGCGGUAAUACGGAGGGUGCAAGCGUUAAUCGGAAUUACUGGGCGUAAAGCGCACGCAGGCGGUCUGUCAAGUCGGAUGUGAAAUCCCCGGGCUCAACCUGGGAACUGCAUUCGAAACUGGCAGGCUUGAGUCUUGUAGAGGGGGGUAGAAUUCCAGGUGUAGCGGUGAAAUGCGUAGAGAUCUGGAGGAAUACCGGUGGCGAAGGCGGCCCCCUGGACAAAGACUGACGCUCAGGUGCGAAAGCGUUGAGAGCAAACAGGAUUAGAAACCCCUGUAGUCCCAU